Leguminivora glycinivorella is the source of this 1432-nucleotide long non-coding RNA. RefSeq lists it as uncharacterized. The record is from RefSeq and is a predicted model, not a curated record. The transcript is spliced from 3 exons. Lineage: Eukaryota; Metazoa; Arthropoda; Insecta; Lepidoptera; Tortricidae.
UGAUAACUUUGACAAAUGACAAGCUACUCAAGCUCUAGCUAUCUAAUUACUUAUUGUUGAGUCCAUGAUGAUAUUCGCGAUAUUUUUGCCGUGAUAUGCAAAUGCAAACAAAAACAAGAAGAAAGGGAAAACAGAGUGUCUAGAAGUGGUGUCCAAAUUUGUAGGAAAAUUCGACGUUUCUGAAGAAAAACAAGUUCUUUUAGAAAAUCUUGGGAUGCUGAAAGACUUGCUGAUUGAAAAGAUUUGCUCAGUCAAAACAAGUAUUUAGAGGAAAUAUCGUCAAUGACUGAUAUCAGUUUUUCUACAUUGAAAAGAAUAAAUAUUGAGAGAAAAGCUAACCAUGAUAUCUUCUGUACUCCAGGGAAGAAAAGAUCAGACAAGCCCACAAGAUAGAGCUAAUCUGGAGCUCAGCAAAGAGAAGAGUCACAAGCAUAAAUUUUGGCAUACCAGCAGCUGACCUUGAAAAUUCAAGAAGCUUUUGACAGCAUAACACCAGAGCUUUGGAAGAAAAUGACUGAUCAUGUGCUCAAUAUUGAAGCUCAGUGUAAAACCAGAAACAGAAUAACGGAAGAACUAGAAUCGUUUAUUUUAAGUGUGUUUAAUGAUGAUGACUCUGACAGUAGUUCAGAGUCAAUGGAAGCUGGAAGCUCCUAAUAAAGUACAAAACCUUGUUAAUUUUAAAUUAAAGGAAAAAUGGAAAAAUUCACAUUUAAAUUCACGUAUCAUUUGCAGAUGUUUCUGCAUGAUAAAAAAUAACUUCUUAAUUUUACUUCAACUUUUCCUCCCACAACUAGGCUCAUUCACUACAGAGAGUACUCCACUCUCGGUCAAUCGGUCAAAUGAACUAGUUGGUCUUUUAGUUCCUUUAGAUCAGUGGUUAUUGGGAGUCAGGGAUGAUAAUAGGUCUGAUACAUUUCAUUCCAGUCUCCUUUUACACAUGAUAUUUCUCCAAUCUUUGGUAAUUGAAUAUAAUUCCAAGUUGUAGUACCUACCUAUAAUAUUAUCCAAGUUUAUUGUAUAUAGAAAAUAUUUCAUUUUCCCGCAUAGAUUUAGACCUUAAACAUUCCUUUCAUCUCUUUCUCACUUGUGCCAAUGGCAUUUUUUACUGUUUCGUUCCGUCUGUUAUCACUUCACUCAGUCAAGCGCUCUGCGAUCCCACUGAACUAUAGGACCUAAUAAGGACCGAUUAAGACCGUGCAAAAAGAUUUAGUUCCUAUCGGUCCUUUAUGGGAUUUCAUUCCUAACAGUACUUAGUUCAUGACCGCCACAAGCCUACAACGUAUCAGCAUUGCGAUACAACGAGGAAAUGUCUCCUGCAUUCCUUGGUACAAUGCCUAAAUGGCGUAGCUAUUGUAGAUUAGGCUAGUUCUUAAUUUCAUUUCAUUAUGAUUUUAUUUAUUAUUGUAGAGAAAUAAAUGAUUAUGACAUUUUA